AGUUAAUGUGGCAGGAUGAAUGUUAUUCCUCGGUUCAACCCACUUUCAGCCUGGCGCAUUAGGGGGCGCUAGUAUAAAUAGUGGCCAUUUGAGCAUUCCUGGAUCGCUUACCUGUGAUCUCCUUUUUGAUCACCUGACUUCCCUUGGUGUUGCAGAGAUCCUCUGCGGGUUACCCUUCUGAAGCCUCCAUCGCAGCUGGUAGGUGUGUUUACUCAGUGUAGUGCGUAUAUUACCUUACUGGGUGGUAAACAGAUAUUGUUUUUAGGUCGUAGCUGUAGAAGCCUCCUAUGAGCCACUCUGCUCAUGAUUCAUGACGCUGUUUACUCGGUACAUAAUUCAGUUUUGUUACGAUCUCUGCCUUUUAUUGUUCUUUUAUAGUAAAUACUUAUUAUGCUUUGCAGGAAGUGUGGGCCUUAGUUUUACGCCACGCUACGCUAACUGAAGUGCUGCUGCUUUGCUUUGGUUUGCUUUUACCCUCUGUUCCUGUUGUGAGGUUACUUUUCCUGCUGCUGCCAGCUUUUUUUUUUUUUUUUUUUAAAGUGGACGUCGGCGUGGACAGCGGCCAUAUGCAUGCAGGUGUUGUGCCAGAAAGUGAUUGCCGUCCGCGGGAGCGCGCGCAGCUACUUAAAGCUGCAGCGCCCGGAUUACUUGCGUUGCCUGCUACUUCCGUGCCACUGAUAUAACGUGGGGGGGAAGAAAAAAAAAACAUUUAUGCCUUUGUUAUAAGGCAAAGGUAUGCAUUUAUGGAACUUUAAAGUUUCUUGUAACCGAAUUGUGACGCUUAUCAGAAGGUUGCUUUCAGUGUGUAGCGCUGUCACGAAUGACUACACGCAUCACGAUGGAAUAAUUAAUGCCUACAGGUUUAGGCUGUUUGAUGACGAUUUGGACUCCUCUGGGUGAUGAGGACACACCCACAUCUGUUCCAUACUGCAGCCAUGGAUGGUGUUACAGCUCUGAGUCCGCUUUGGGCCAUCAGAUGCACACACUGGAAAACCAGCGCCUGUACUUCAUGCAGGAGAGAUGACCUCAGUGAUAAUUCAUCAGCAGCUGUGAAGAGAUGUAUUUGAAUAUCUUCUGGUUCCACUUUUCUUAACCUGGAAGCUGAGGAUGGCUAAUUCCUGACAAGGACACACACCUCAGCGCUUAUCAUGGGUGUUACAUCCUCUGCGCAGCAAUUCCAGAGAAAACGAGAGAGCAACGACCACACAUUAAGACCAGACAGAAAUCUGUCCCUUUCUGGCAGCUGUGGAAACUUCCAAUAAGAAAGUUUGCAUUCUUAGAACAAUGCUGGGUCAUGUGUGAUGUGUCAUUAUAUGAGGAUAUUACAUUUUAACUUAAUUCUGCUCAAUUAAGUGUUUUGUUCGUUGAUCCAAUAUGGCAGCUUUUAUUGUGCUCCAAGUUAAAACUCAUUGUCCUCAUGAGCACAGCAUCUAACAACUCUCCUUAAAAA
Long non-coding RNA from Oreochromis aureus, 1450 nucleotides. Lineage: Eukaryota; Metazoa; Chordata; Actinopteri; Cichliformes; Cichlidae. The record is from Ensembl.